UAAAGCAGUUGGAUUUAAGUAGAUGGUUAUUAUAUAAUGUCCUAAAUUUUCAAUUUUUCAAAACCACAACCAUCCGUUCGAAAUUCAAUGAUUAGGAAGAAAAAUAAAAUGAAUAGUCAUGUUUUAACCAACAUGAACUCAAAUCUCCCCCAUACCAAACAUAACACAGCACCUUCAGAAACAGAUUCACCAAUUUGGAUGUCAUCACAAAGCAUUUACCAUCCUUCUCAUCUCAGCAGACCUCCUGGGAUCUGGCUCCUCAAUUGCUCUCUCGGUAAGUACUUGCUUGAUUCGACACAUUGACUUCCGCACCUUGGGUAAGCGCUCUGGAUUUGGGAAUCUUAGUUUCUGGGCAUGAAGCAUCUGGCGUUGAGUCAUCAGCAUGUUUUUCUCCUUUAAUAAAACAUACCACAGUUUAUGAAGAUCAUCCCAAGACUUCAGGCGCAGUUCAGAUGCUUUCCAACUUCGACCAUAGACAACACGUUUAUCCUCAUCCUGGGUCCUAUCUGCCUCGAAGAACGCCUCAAGAGGGUUACGAGCAUACCCAGUUGCUGCUGCAGCAGCAGAAGUUUCAGAUUUAACUGCAGCAAAGAGAGUUC
This 599-nucleotide unclassified non-coding RNA is filed under the name Hevea brasiliensis (rubber tree). Lineage: Eukaryota; Viridiplantae; Streptophyta; Magnoliopsida; Malpighiales; Euphorbiaceae. The record is from RNAcentral.